This 85-nucleotide transfer RNA is filed under the name Mycoplasmatota bacterium. RNAcentral's name for it is "Tenericutes bacterium tRNA-Leu". It matches the Rfam family "tRNA". From Rfam's summary of the family: Transfer RNA (tRNA) molecules are approximately 80 nucleotides in length. Their secondary structure includes four short double-helical elements and three loops (D, anti-codon, and T loops). Lineage: Bacteria; Bacillati; Mycoplasmatota. The record is from RNAcentral.
GCGGACGUGGCGGAAUUGGUAGACGCGCAUGCUUGAGGGGCAUGUGGUAUAUACCGUGGGGGUUCAAGUCCCCCCGUUCGCACCA